Hyla sarda is the source of this 291-nucleotide long non-coding RNA. RefSeq lists it as uncharacterized. The transcript has 3 exons. The record is from RefSeq and is a predicted model, not a curated record. NCBI's taxonomy places the organism in Eukaryota, Metazoa, Chordata, Amphibia, Anura, Hylidae.
GCUCAGAUACCCCCAGGACUUACUGUAGAGCCGAACAACAUAACAAGCAAGAAAAACAUACAAGCAUGUAUCAAUCAGUAAUAGAAUAGUGGACAAUCCUCAGCAGAAUACGUGUACGGGGAAAGAAAAUGAACAAAUACUGACCAAACCAGAAUCCCUUACAUACAACUAUGUGUUAUUUUUGGCUACUGCUUUCACCUCCACCACCUGUGCAACACACUCCACCUGGCUCCAUGUUAUAUCAUCAGACUCUUCUAACUUCUCCUGAGAAAAUCUUGAACCAGUCAACAU